GAUAAUGAGCUUGAUUAAAAGUUUAUAUUUUGAAAAUAUAAGAUAGAAUUAAAAAAUAAUUUUAUUAUCU
RNAcentral lists this transfer RNA (70 nucleotides) under Protapanteles sp. 2 SNS-2016. Its description in RNAcentral is "tRNA-Ser". The record is from RNAcentral. Lineage: Eukaryota; Metazoa; Arthropoda; Insecta; Hymenoptera; Braconidae.